AUCUUCUUCCUGCCCUCGCCGUGGCGGGCGACGGUUUCUCGCGCCGUGGCUGGCUCGGCCGGCCGGGGCACCGCGCCGGGCUCCAUGCAGCCGGGCUGCGCGGUCCCGCAGAGCGGGCGCCUCCGGGGCUCGAGUCGGGGACCCGGCAGGAGCGGGCCGGGGAUGGCGGCGGCGGGCGGCGGGUCGGCCGUGGAGCCCCGGAGAGGCGGCCGCCACCACCGCUGCCCGCAGUCUGCGAGGUGUCCGGCGGUCCGCUCAGGGCCUCUUUUGCAGACUCGGUGCCCGGAGUGCGCCGGCGCCGCCCGCCAGGUCUUGGCACUGCUGGCGCGGCCGCGGCGGCGGGGGCCCGGCUCCAGAUCACCGACCCCCACGAGCGCCGGCCCUGCCUGCCCGCUAUUUUGGUUCCAUCUCUUCUGCAUAUUUAUGCUUGCCUGUUACAUUCCCUGGCCUCUGAGUGUCCUUUGGCAGUUUCCAAAGCAUUUGGGCAAGAAGGAGCUUGGGCAGCUUCACAACAGGUGGGGACGCGCAGGGGAGGGGCCGCGGCCGGACCGGCAGAGUUUCAAGGGCUGGCGCGCCGGCGGACUUUCCACACUGUCUUUCGGGACUGGGGUUAGGAGACAGCCCUUGGCCACCACUGUGUCCUUACUUUGUCGCUUUACUUGGGGCUGGACCUCCCCUUUCCAGCUCUGGCGUGUGACCCCGCAACGAGCGUGGUGUCGAGACCACCACCAGCUGGGGCGGUGGGAGCGAAGGUGCCCCAGGCUCGGGGAAGGUGGAAACCUUUUCCCCGCUCCCCAAGUGAUUGUUGCGCGCUCCGGUGAGGGGACAGUGGUACCUCGAUUUCCCGUGUGCCAGCUUCGGGACUCAGCUGUGCUUUUGUGUCUCUUUGAUUAGCAAAAGCAAAACGAAUUCCUCCCCGAACACUAAGCUUCCUGGAAACUUCCCUAGACCUAAACUUGAGAACCGCAUAUAAAUGGGCCUUGAGGGUUCUGUCGUCAGUAGCGGGUUACGUGAUUGCAAACGAGCAAGUUUAAAACGGAGUGGGCUUUGGGCUGCAGAGCCGCCUGGCAUUCUGACAGCUGAGCAGGAGGCAGAGGUGAGAGUCCAAGAUGGACUAAAAAUGUCCCAGCAGCUGGGAGCCCAACCUCGGCCCAACCUCGUUGAAAGGAGGAACAUUCGGUGCAGCCGUCGGAACCUUAUUAUUUAUGAAAGGGGACAGCUCACAGGAUUACAUUUUUCUAAGCCAAUCCUGUGACCAUCCUCCAUGAAAUUCUCUAUUUUGGUUGCAUGUGGUCAAAACUGAGCCUCACUGAAACAAUUGAAAACAAAUACUCCCGACAAAUCUUAAGAAUCGUUUUGAAAAUCAAAAGGUGGGGAAAAUGUUGUGGCUUCUGAGCUUUCUUCAGCCCAUAUUCUAUUAUUCUCUGAUGUUUUAUGGUGUAAAAUCAUACCCAUUCCAUUAUGUAUUGAUUGUCAAGAAGGAAGUAGGCUUUUAUUGCUAUUUUUAUGUCAGUUUCCAUUUACUGUCUCACCACAUUUAUUGGGUUAUUGCCUUUGCCUUUGACUCAACAGGAGCUGGAAGGGUAGGAAUCCCAAAUUCUGUUGCCUAAGGCAGCCAGUUGUCAGAAUGGACUUUCCUCAUUUUCUAUUAUGAGGCCUGAGGAAAGACAUUCAGUUCCAAAGGCUGUGCCUAUCCUUUUAAAUAGAAGAGAGAGGGCCCGGCACGGUGGCUCACGCCUGUAAUCCCAGCAGUUUGGGAGGCCGAAGGGGGCGAAUCACGAGGUCAGGAGUUCCAGACCAGCCUGGCCAACAUAGUGAAACCCCGUGUCUACUAAAGAUACAAAUAUUAGCCGGGCGUAAUGGCGGGCGCCUGUAUUCCCAGCUACUCGGGAGGCUGAGGCAGGAGAAUGGCUUGAAUCCGGGAGGCGGAGGUUGCAGUGAACCGAACCGAGAUCGCGUCGCUGGACUCCAGCCCGGGCGACAGAGUGAGACUCCGUCCCAAAAAAAAAAAAAAAAAAAAAAAAAAAAAAAAAAAAAAAAAAAAGAAAAGAAGAAGAGGAAGCAGCCGUGCCAAAAAAAAAAAAAAAAAGAAGAGGAAGCAGCCGUGCCGAGGCUAGGUACUGCCUAAAGAAGCGGGGGAACAAAUUGGAAAUGUGGGAAUGCGAAUGUGGGCAAGUUGAGGAACUUGUAGCUUCUCGUCGGUUGAAUCUUUUCACUGAAGCUGCUUUAUUAUAUCUGACAUGUGAAACUACACAAUUUCAAACAAACCCAUAUUGAAGUCAACAUACAAAAAAGCAUUUAAAAAACAACCAUUAGUAAAAAUAAUUUUUUCAGUUAACGCUAUUCUUCCCUUGUAUAGGUGUUGAUAAUCAUAUAAUCAAAUAGCUUAUUGCAUAUGGAGAGUUGUUUUCUUUGAGUUAAUUCAACGUAUUGCAACUUAGUUAGAAUCCAGGAAAAUAGUAUUUUCAAAUGUGUAUUUGGAAUCUUCAAAAUACUAGGUUACAAAUUACCUUAAGAGAUAUUUAUGCAGCAUAGAAGAACCAGCAGUUCUCAGAGGAAGAUAAAUAGUUAAAAUAUCAUAAUGCACUUUAUAUCAGUUGUAAAAAGAAAAAUACAGGCUUAGAUUUAUGGUAUUACCGUUAGAAAAACAAUAUGAGUAUUUAAGAAACAUAGCAACCCUAGCCAUUAAAUAGGCAUCAAAUAACAUUCUGAAUUAAGUUAUAAGAUAAAACCAAGAUUUGGAUGACAAUGACAAUAUUGUCCAUCAUUGUUAUCCAAAUCCUGGUUUUAUCUUAUAACUGGUUUUAGGGGCAAUUGUAGUGAAUUGCCCCUAAAAGAUGUUUGAAAUUCGUUUCAUACACUUUUCCUGAAUCAACUUAAGUAUUGAUUUCACAAACAAUAAGAUGGUGUGCCGUAGCAUGUCAUCGCACUAGAAAGAAAAAAAGUACUCCACCAGUGGGAAAUAAUUUCAGCAGAGGAAAGUGAUGAAUAUUGGAUGUGUGUUUAGAAAUCAGAGGUUGAUAAAGUCUUAAGAUUGCUAUAUGCACUAUGAGGCUAAUGUAUUUUGAAAAUUGCAAAACAAUAUUUUUUAAACAACAAAAAUUUGGUGAGUAGCAUACGCAGACUUCAAAAAUAAAUUGCGUAACUUCAUAUUUCAGUAAUUAAAGAUUUAACAAUAGUGAUUUUGUGGCUAAACAAAAUAUACUGAACCCAUUAUGUAUAAACCAUGGAUUCAGAGCUCCAGAAAAUUAUCUUAAUGAGGCAUAUAAACUCUUUUUGUUUAAUGUCCACACCAAAUCAUUAUGGUCUGCCAUUUCAUGAAAUAACAAGUUUUAAAAUAAGUGAUGUUUUUUAGUUUGUAUAUCUAUAUUCUUUUCUACCAGGUAUAGCACAGUGUAGUACAAGGGCCUACAGUUACAAGCCUUGGGAAAGAUACUGUUUUGGCCACAUAUUUCAGCUAUGUGACCCUGGAAAGAGGGUCUCAGAGGGCCACUGUGGCCCUCAGUGUCUUUUCAUUGGUAAAUUGGGGCAACAUCUUUUGUAUAAUGAAAGCUGAAAAAAAUAACGAUUUUCCUUUUAUUCUCCCUUCCUUUCAUUUAGGCUGUAGUUUUCACUUUUUAACUACAAAGCAAUUUAUCUCUUGAUAACACUUCUAGUGUAUUGUCCCUAAAGUACUUUUGAAAGUAGUUCUGUACACUUUUCCUGAGUAAUAAAAACAUCACAUAUUUGCUAACUUGAAAGAAUCCCGAGUCAGGAGAUGGCCUGGAUUCUCUCUGACCCUUCAACUAAAGUCUUUGACCAAAGGAGCACAGGUGACCCCUUUCUGCUUCAUUUUCUGACCUGUAGAGUAUUGGACUCAAUGACCGAUCCUCCCUUGUAGCUCCAAAAUUCUGGGCUAAACUCCAUGCACCUCCCUUCUGAGUUAAAAAUAGUAGACAGGCCUGCAUUAUCAACAUUUGUAGAAAAAUAUGAAAUGCUUAGAGUCACUUUGUAAUUGAGUCUAAGAUUUGAAUGCAUAGAGUUCAAAUGCAAUACUUGUGUUGAUAACACAACAAAGACAUGUAAGUUUUUAUGUACCUUUAUGUUCUAUGCAUUAGUCCUUCAUUCCUUGGCAUGAGGAGAAGUGAUGGUUUCUCAGUGACCUUCCAGAACUCUAAGGCUGUGUUUCUCACACCAGGCCUCAGGGUUUCUACAUUUUGAACAAAUUUCCAGUAUUGUACCCAUGCACACCUGAGUCUAAGAACUCUGCUGUAAGGUGACAUUAAACAGCACCUGAAGUUAUAUUUGAGAUGAUUACUCAGUAAUCAAUGUACAGUUGAUUUUCAUAGUGUGGAUUCAAGCACGGAAUAGAGCACAGUUUUAAUUAAAUCUGUAUUUCUCAGUUGAAACUUUAUUUUAGCAUUACAUGACUUCUAUUUCAUGAAUCAUAAAUGUCAUGUUUCUUCACAAACUGUAGUUCUGAAUUUAACUCAUUCACCAUUUUGUCGUCAAAAAGAAGAGUUGAUGUUGUUGAAAGAUCUAAACAGCUUUGCAGCUGAUGUUCUAAAGAAAUAAAAUAUACCACUGAACCCAGAUCAAGCCUUUGCACUAAAUUAAUGUGAGUUUGAAUUUCUGAGUUUCAGUAGUAAUAUUUUCUAUCUUUGGCAAUCAUUUUUGGACUGACGCUCAUUACGUUUUAUUCUCUUUGGGCUUUAUUCCAUGGAUUUGUAAAGGACACCAGUUCGCUUUAUUUCUGGAAGAUGUAACACAAAUUAAGUAAUGUGCCUUUGAUUCCAAUGUAACUGUUACACCUUAACUAAAACUGUCAUGAGCAACAUCAUUUUUAAAAGCAUUUCUUUGACGUGCAAAUAUAUGACAGAAACCAUUGUAAAUAGGACUUUUUGAAAACAAUACUUUGCUAAAAGGGGUGUUUUAUGAAGGAUAUUAUGUUCUGAAGACCUAAAGGUAGGUUCUGUUUAUGUAAUAAAAGUGUAUGAACCUAUAUAAUUUCAUGGCUUAUUGGCUUAUAGGGCCUUUUAUUCAUGAUCAGAUAUAAAAUUUAUUUUGUGCUGUACUUUAAAUUUCUGGAAAAUUUCAAAAUACUGAUGAAAGGGGCCCUGGUAAUGACUCAGCAGACUUUCCAUUCCAGAUUUAUCUCUAAGAAAAAAGAAGUGUUUCUCAUUAUCACGAUGAAAAUAAAUAGAGGUUGUUUCAAACCGUAUUAAUCAUUUAGUCGGUUAAUUAACAAGAAUCCUUUUGCAGAAUAAAUUCAGACCUUCUAGUAAAUGUGUUGAUAACUGUCAAAAAUCCUUUUUUAUAAUUCUAGCUAGCAAAGGCUUUCAUUUUGGAAUUCAGGAAGCAGGGGAGAUUUUAUUUAUCACCCAGUUCCUGUUGCUAGUCCUUUUGAAUUUUGCCUUUCAGAGUUUUUUUUUUUUUUUCUUUUUGUUAUUCCCCAGUGGCAAGUUAUUUAUUGCUUCGUUUGGCCACUCAUCAAAUAGUAGUUGGUAAUCAGAAGAUUUUACAUGAUAUUCAGGAUAAUUUUUUGCUUUUUUCUAGUGUUUCUAGUUGAACUAUGAUGGAUUAAGGUAACUGAGUAAUUUUUCUCUUGACAUCGAUGCCCUUUAAGCUCUUUUGGGCUGUGAUCCUGCUCUUGUAAUUAGCUUUCAUCCUGUUCAUUAAUCAGUGUUUCCAUUCUGACAGUUUUUCCUUUUCUUUCUCCUCUUGUUUCUGAGAUAUUAAAAAGCGAAAGCAGUCUCUUACAAGGAUCUAUUGUUUGUUAUCUUUUAGGCAAACCCAAGUAUUUAUCUCUCUCUUUUGCGUUCAUACCAAAAUUUAUUGGAAAUGCACGAUAAAUUUUCAGAUUCUCAAAAAUCUCAGGGUUUCUGCUUUCCAGGUUUUAGAAAUUAGUUUAUCUGAUUUCAAGGCCUUAGAUUUUCAAAUUGCUCUUUUAUAUGCAUCUAUUCUAUUCCGUUUUCUUUUCAGUUCUAAGCCUAUGUUUAUAUGUAAAAUGCUUCUCUUGUUUCUGACAUUUUCCAAUUUAGUAUCAAUUUCUAAUAAUGAACCACUGUUACCUGCUUGUCUUCCAUGUGGAUGCUUAAUAAAUACUAUAACUUAGGUAUACAGUUUCAUGGAGGAGAAUAGAAGAAUGUGGUUAAUUUUUUGAAAUAGCAAUAAAAAGAAAACAUGUUGUGGCUUUAGCAAGCAUUAUUUUCUUGUGACAAUUUUAUCCUCCUAAUUAUACAUUGCCUAAGCUGGUACUAACGUUAAUUCAUGUUCUCCUAAGCAUAUGCCCACUCUUGACAGAUAUACACUGGGGUUACAAAUUUGGCGUGUAUAAUUUACACAUAAAUAUUCAAUUGCUAAGAAAACUGAGACUAAAUCACAUGCUGGUCAUUAUCAUCUUUUAAAUUACACUCUGACCUUUCAUCCAUCUACUUAGCAGUGUAAUAACACAAUUGUCUUAAUAUAAAUAAUUCAUUUCUAGUGCUGCAACCCAUUUUUAAAUACUCAAUUUUAAUAUUUAUUAUAGUUCUGAUAUUUAUUAUCUGACAUGUUUGGCUAGAUAUUCUUUUUCUGAACAGUACUUAGUUUCAUGUAAUUUGAUUUUAUUUUUACUAGCUGGAUAAACACACAGUUUUACACAGUAAAAAUAAAAUCAAAUUACAUGAAAUUAAAUUAAUGUAAUUAAUUAAUGUAAUUAAUGUAAUGUAAUUAAUGCAUCCAACAAAAAUCAGUCUUGUAUUAAGUAAUUAAAGGUCCAAAAAUCAGUUGGUUCCAUUGACUUUGGGCAAUGCAAUGUCCACUCCAAAUCUGUCGUUUGUUUCGCUCUGAUAUUUUAAUAGUGUUGCACAGA
RNAcentral lists this long non-coding RNA (6832 nucleotides) under Homo sapiens (human). RNAcentral's name for it is "non-protein coding TAPT1-AS1:12". Lineage: Eukaryota; Metazoa; Chordata; Mammalia; Primates; Hominidae. The record is from RNAcentral.